GAUGAACGCUGGCGGCGUGCCUAAUACAUGCAAGUCGAGCGAACAGACGAGGAGCUUGCUCCUCUGACGUUAGCGGCGGACGGGUGAGUAACACGUGGAUAACCUACCUAUAAGACUGGGAUAACUUCGGGAAACCGGAGUUAAUACCGGAUAAUAUAUUGAACCGCAUGGUUCAAUAGUGAAAGACGGUUUUGCUGACACUUAUAGAUGGCUCCGCGCCGCAUUAGUUAGUUGGUAAGGUAACGGCUUACCAAGGCAACGAUGCGUAGCCGACCUGAGAGGGUGAUCGGCCACACUGGAGCUGAGACACGGUCCAGACUCCUACGGGAGGCAGCAGUAGGGAAUCUUCCGCAAUGGGCGAAAGCCUGACGGAGCAACGCCGCGUGAGUGAUGAAGGGCUUCGGAUCGUAAAACUCUGUUAUUAGGGAAGAACAAAUGUGUAAGUAACUAUGCACGUCUUGACGGUACCUAAUCAGAAAGCCACGGCUAACUACGUG
RNAcentral lists this ribosomal RNA (497 nucleotides) under uncultured bacterium. Its description in RNAcentral is "partial 16S ribosomal RNA". It matches the Rfam family "Bacterial small subunit ribosomal RNA", at positions 28 to 507 of the family's 1533-position model. The record is from RNAcentral.